This 256-nucleotide ribosomal RNA is filed under the name uncultured bacterium. RNAcentral describes it as "partial 16S ribosomal RNA". It matches the Rfam family "Bacterial small subunit ribosomal RNA", at positions 524 to 776 of the family's 1533-position model. The record is from RNAcentral.
UACGUAGGGUGCGAGCGUUAAUCGGAAUUACUGGGCGUAAAGCGUGCGCAGGCGGUUCGUUGUGUCGGCGGUGAAAUCCCCGGGCUCAACCUGGGAAUGGCCGUUGAAACUGGCGAACUGGAGUGUGGCAGAGGGGGGGUGGAAUUCCACGUGUAGCAGUGAAAUGCGUAGAGAAUGUGGAGGAACACCGAUGGCGAAGGCAGCCCCCCUGGGUCAAGAUUGACGCUCAUGCACGAAAGCGUGGGGAGCAAACAGG